This 425-nucleotide ribosomal RNA is filed under the name uncultured bacterium. RNAcentral's name for it is "partial 16S ribosomal RNA". It matches the Rfam family "Bacterial small subunit ribosomal RNA", at positions 354 to 796 of the family's 1533-position model. The record is from RNAcentral.
GUGGGGAAUCUUGCGCAAUGGGCGAAAGCCUGACGCAGCCAUGCCGCGUGAAUGAUGAAGGUCUUAGGAUUGUAAAAUUCUUUCACCGGGGACGAUAAUGACGGUACCCGGAGAAGAAGCUCCGGCUAACUUCGUGCCAGCAGCCGCGGUAAUACGAAGGGGGCUAGCGUUGCUCGGAAUUACUGGGCGUAAAGGGUGCGUAGGCGGUUUUAUAAGUCAGUGGUGAAAUCAACGGGCUCAACCUGUUAACUGCCAUUGAUACUGUAGGACUUGAAUAUGAGAGAGGUAGGCGGAAUGUUGCAUGUAGCGGUGAAAUGCUUAGAUAUGCUACGGAACACCGAUUGCGAAGGCAGCUUACUAUUUCAUGAUUGACGCUGAGGCACGAAAGCGUGGGUAGCGAACAGGAUUAGAAACCCUUGUAGUCC